This 491-nucleotide ribosomal RNA is filed under the name uncultured bacterium. RNAcentral describes it as "partial 16S ribosomal RNA". It matches the Rfam family "Bacterial small subunit ribosomal RNA", at positions 29 to 506 of the family's 1533-position model. The record is from RNAcentral.
AGUGAACGCUGGCGGUAGGCCUAACACAUGCAAGUCGAACGGCAGCACAGUAAGAGCUUGCUCUUACGGGUGGCGAGUGGCGGACGGGUGAGGAAUACAUCGGAAUCUACUUUUUCGUGGGGGAUAACGUAGGGAAACUUACGCUAAUACCGCAUACGACCUACGGGUGAAAGCAGGGGAUCUUCGGACCUUGCGCGAUUGAAUGAGCCGAUGUCGGAUUAGCUAGUUGGCGGGGUAAAGGCCCACCAAGGCGACGAUCCGUAGCUGGUCUGAGAGGAUGAUCAGCCACACUGGAACUGAGACACGGUCCAGAAUCCUACGGGAGGCAGCAGUGGGGAAUAUUGGACAAUGGGCGCAAGCCUGACCCAGCCAUACCGCGUGGGUGAAGAAGGCCUUCGGGUUGUAAAGCCCUUUUGUUGGGAAAGAAAAGCAGCAGGUUAAUACCCCGCUGUUCUGACGGUACCCAAAGAAUAAGCACCGGCUAACUUCGU